RNAcentral lists this ribosomal RNA (440 nucleotides) under uncultured bacterium. RNAcentral's name for it is "partial 16S ribosomal RNA". It matches the Rfam family "Bacterial small subunit ribosomal RNA", at positions 338 to 795 of the family's 1533-position model. The record is from RNAcentral.
CCUACGGGAGGCAGCAGUGGGGAAUCUUUCACAAUGGGGGGAACCCUGAUGCAGCGACGCCGCGUGCGUGAAGAAGUCUUUCGGUAUGUAAAGCUCUAUUAUAAGCGAAGAAGAUGACGGUACCUGAUUAAGAAGCCCCGGCUAACUACGUGCCAGCAGCCGCGGUCAUACGUAGGGUGCGAGCUGUAUCCGGCUUUACUGGGUGUAAAGGGAGCGUAGACGGCAGGGCAAGACUGGAGUGAAAGCCCGGGGCCCAACACCGAGACUGCUUUGGAAACUGUCAUGCUAGAGUGCUGGAGAGGUAAGCGGAAUUCCUAGUGUAGCGGUGAAAUGCGUAGAUAUUAGGAGGAACACCAGUGGCGAAGGCGGGUUACUGGACAGUAACUGACGUUGAGGCUCGAAAGCGUAGGGAGCAAACAGGAUUAGAUACCCCUGUAGUC